AUUUCAUUCUCUAUUCCAAAAAAUUAAAAGCAUUAUAUCUUAAAAAACCUAAAAACAUGGUCUCCUCACUCCCGUCUCUCCGUUUCAGUCUCUCAGAUCUGAUGUCUUUCUGGCGGCGGUGCUCUUACCUGUUCUGUGAGAAGGCCUCUAUGAGUCCUAUUUACUUUUGAUCGAUCUUCUGUAGUUUUAAGGUCUUCGUCUGUACUGGAAAGUGAUGGAACUUCUCUCAAUGGUGAUAUGGUGUGGUUGAGCGAUGGUUGGUUUCUGCCUUGUUACCAGUGAGGUCGAGUUCAUCGUAAGGGCGUGAUCUGUCCGCCUGUGUGCGAUGGUGAAUCUAACUGUCUGGUGGGGGUUUGACUCCGGCUCGGUGGUUCCUUGUCCAGAGGCGGCCUCUGCUUCAUCACUUAGUUGGAUUUGUCUUUGAUUGGCGUAUCCUGCAUCAAUGUUGAAGAUCUGGGUGGAGGGACCAGUCGCUUGCCGCAGUUCCAGUUCGACUUGGUCUUCACUUCGGGCUUUUCAUAUUUUUGGCUUCUUUUAGAAAAAGAAUGUUGUCGGCAUUGCAAAACUAUAUUUUAUCUCCUAAAAUGUAGAAGAAAAGUAAGAAGCAGUUCAGGGUGCAAAGACAGAAGAACAUAUCGCAAGAUUUGACCUUGGAGACCGUGGGUUUGUACACUUUAAAUAUUUUGCUGUUUACCAAUUGGAUGCAGGUUUAAGUUAACGGCUUGAACGACGAGAUAUUAUUCCGGUUCUACAUCUGAAUAUUGCUGUAGAAAUCUACGAAGAGGUUUCUGAAGUUUGCUAAGUAAUAUGCAUGUUGUUUUAAAUUGCUUAUGCAGUAUUUUGUUUUUUUUUGGUAUUGGAUGUACAAGUAGUCCAAUACGCAGGCUGAUGUUCUUUUAGUCGGAUUAUUAUAUAUGCCAGUCAUGAGUUUGUUACUCCAAACUUUUAUAGUUUCAUCAACAAUUUCAUACAGAUUUUUUA
Raphanus sativus (radish) is the source of this 981-nucleotide long non-coding RNA. RefSeq lists it as uncharacterized. The transcript has 2 exons. Lineage: Eukaryota; Viridiplantae; Streptophyta; Magnoliopsida; Brassicales; Brassicaceae. The record is from RefSeq and is a predicted model, not a curated record.